This 75-nucleotide transfer RNA is filed under the name Candidatus Omnitrophota bacterium. RNAcentral's name for it is "tRNA-Glu". It matches the Rfam family "tRNA". From Rfam's summary of the family: Transfer RNA (tRNA) molecules are approximately 80 nucleotides in length. Lineage: Bacteria; Pseudomonadati; Candidatus Omnitrophota. The record is from RNAcentral.
GGCCCCAUCGUCUAGCCUGGUCAAGGACGGGAGAUUCUCAGUCUUCAAACAGGGGUUCAAAUCCCCUUGGGGCUG